AAGUCGUAACAAGGUUUCCGUAGGUGAACCUGCGGAAGGAUCAUUAACACGUCUAUCUAACAACUUACACGUGAACCACACAAUCGCUUUGGUGUUGAGACUUUUUGUUGAUGUACAAUUAAUAAAUUGUUUCUUCACCAAAGUUCUUUGUUAUCUUUUCAUUAAGAUAACAAAGGCGAUGAAAAUGUUUGAAAAAGUUCACCCUUUUUCAAACAUUCUCAUCGUUACUGUUCAAUACAAUUUUGAGUAAUAUUCUGUGAAAUGUCACAACCAAAAUAUAACACUUUCAACAGUGGAUAUCUUGGCUCCCA
RNAcentral lists this unclassified non-coding RNA (311 nucleotides) under fungal sp. Its description in RNAcentral is "partial internal transcribed spacer region". The stretch from base 1 to 46 matches the Rfam family "Eukaryotic small subunit ribosomal RNA", at positions 1786 to 1831 of the family's 1831-position model. The record is from RNAcentral. Lineage: Eukaryota; Fungi.